AGUAGUUCUGUGUGACCACCUAGCCCUAUAUAAGACCUAUCUAUUUGCUCAGAAGCUAUCAGAGGGUGUGGUGGUGCUACCAGCUCCUGAGUUGUUUGAAGUGGAUUUGAGUUUGGUUUGUAAAUCUUUCUCUGGUUGCUAACAUUCCCUAGCAUCAAUUGUGCCCCUGCCCUGAAGUUACUGGUGUUGGCGAGGCAAGUCCCUAACCACCACUGUCUCAAGGCUGCUGCUGUACCCCUGCAAACAUGGGAGGCAAACUGAGCAAGAAGGGGCUCAACAUGGGUUAUGAGAAACCAAUAGCCCAUGUGGUUGAAGAAGCUACAGAGGCUGCUACAGGGAAGCCAGAAGAGAGGGAGGAGGCCUGCCCUGCUGCAGAGUUGAUGGGACCCACAACUGAGAAGAGGGACAAAGAUUCCCAGGUCCCUGCUGAUGAGAUGGAAGACAAAGAAGAAGGCGGAGUCCCUGCAGUGGGCAUGGAAGAGAUCUGUAAACCUGAACCAAAACAGCUAGAUUUGGUGCCUAAUGAAGAGCAGUUGGUGGCUGCUAUCAGUGAGGAAACCACUAAAUCUCCAGAGGCUGACCCUUCCCAACUUCUGGAAGUUUCAACACCUGUAGGUGGUGAGAGCAGACAGGAAGGGGAUGGUGAAUAGAUGGAAUCCCCCUGAAUCUGAAUGCCAUGUAACUCUACCCCAGUUUCCAUUUCAAGACCCAUCUCUAUGAAGAGGUACCUUCUGCAGAGUGAUCCUGGCAACACUAAUUCUACUCUCUGCUUCUCCAACCCCUGAGACUGUAGCUGUGGCAGAACACCUCAAUCUUUCCAGCAACUAUCUGAUCCCUAGUGCCAGAGUAAAAUGGACAGACUGAGUAAUGCUAGUAAAACUACCUCUUUUGGGUGGUUCCAUCAGUACUGGUGAGCUGUAUCCCCAGCUCUUAGCCAAACUUCAGUCCUCUGUAGGGAAAUAGGCAAGUAAGAUGGCAUGCAUCUGGUACAGGACUUGGUGCAACUGGUAGUGCACAUUUCCUGUAUCUUUAAGGCUGUACUGGCUGACAGUACAGCACAUCUCAGUACCUGACCUGUCAUACACACACUUCUGCUGUGCAUAGCCAUCUUUAUCUGUUUAAUGUUGAUGCCUGAAUGUAAUUAAAAUGGUAUCUAAGGGUUUUAAGGCCUUAGUGUGAUAUCCCUUAUACGCAAUGAAUGAGUGGCUCUUAAGAACAAACUUGAUUCCCUGUUAGGUUGCAUGAUGUGGCUAUCAGACCUGAAUGCAAUGAAAAUGUUGUGAGGUGGUUUCUUUAUUGGAACAUGUUAAUUACAAUUCAGGGUCCAUUUUGAGGGCUCAGCUGCUACUUAAAAAACAGAAGAAACUAAUGUAAUUGUUCAGAGGAGAAUAAUUACUAAAUUAUAAAAUGCAAUCUAUCCUGUAUAUGCAAUAACAGGACAGUCAUGGUUUAUGUAAGUCCUUGUAUAGUUACCUGCAUUGACUGACUCAUUCAAAUGUUGGAUGUCAAUAAAUGUUUUAUACUUGCAACAA
Molecule: long non-coding RNA, 1532 nt
Organism: Dermochelys coriacea (leatherback sea turtle)
Lineage: Eukaryota; Metazoa; Chordata; Testudines; Dermochelyidae
Exons: 2
Source: RefSeq, a predicted model, not a curated record